CCUACGGGUGGCACCAGUGGGGAAUAUUGGACAAUGGGCGAAAGCCUGAUCCAGCAAUGCCGCGUGUGUGAAGAAGGUCUUCGGAUUGUAAAGCACUUUCGACGGGGACGAUGAUGACGGUACCCGUAGAAGAAGCCCCGGCUAACUUCGUGCCAGCAGCCGCGGUAAUACGAAGGGGGCUAGCGUUGCUCGGAAUGACUGGGCGUAAAGGGCGCGUAGGCGGUUUACGCAGUCAGAAGUGAAAUCCCCGGGCUUAACCUGGGAACUGCAUUUGAGACCCAUAGACUAGAGGUCGAGAGAGGGUUGUGGAAUUCCCAGUGUAGAGGUGUAAUUCGUAGAUAUUGGGAAGAACACCGGUGGCGAAGGCGGCAACCUGGCUCGAUACUGACGCUGAGGCGCGAAAGCGUGGGGAGCAAACAGGAUUAGAUACCCUCGUAGUC
RNAcentral lists this ribosomal RNA (440 nucleotides) under uncultured bacterium. RNAcentral describes it as "bacterial SSU rRNA". It matches the Rfam family "Bacterial small subunit ribosomal RNA", at positions 338 to 795 of the family's 1533-position model. The record is from RNAcentral.